This 449-nucleotide ribosomal RNA is filed under the name Shigella flexneri. Its description in RNAcentral is "bacterial SSU rRNA". It matches the Rfam family "Bacterial small subunit ribosomal RNA", at positions 1096 to 1533 of the family's 1533-position model. RNAcentral also lists the same sequence under 1 other name. The record is from RNAcentral. Lineage: Bacteria; Pseudomonadati; Pseudomonadota; Gammaproteobacteria; Enterobacterales; Enterobacteriaceae.
GCGCAACCCUUAUCCUUUGUUGCCAGCGGUCCGGCCGGGAACUCAAAGGAGACUGCCAGUGAUAAACUGGAGGAAGGUGGGGAUGACGUCAAGUCAUCAUGGCCCUUACGACCAGGGCUACACACGUGCUACAAUGGCGCAUACAAAGAGAAGCGACCUCGCGAGAGCAAGCGGACCUCAUAAAGUGCGUCGUAGUCCGGAUUGGAGUCUGCAACUCGACUCCAUGAAGUCGGAAUCGCUAGUAAUCGUGGAUCAGAAUGCCACGGUGAAUACGUUCCCGGGCCUUGUACACACCGCCCGUCACACCAUGGGAGUGGGUUGCAAAAGAAGUAGGUAGCUUAACCUUCGGGAGGGCGCUUACCACUUUGUGAUUCAUGACUGGGGUGAAGUCGUAACAAGGUAACCGUAGGGGAACCUGCGGUUGGAUCACCUCCUUACCUUAAAGAAGC